RNAcentral lists this long non-coding RNA (573 nucleotides) under Arabidopsis lyrata. RNAcentral describes it as "long non-coding RNA (ALYR_LNC003447)". Lineage: Eukaryota; Viridiplantae; Streptophyta; Magnoliopsida; Brassicales; Brassicaceae. The record is from RNAcentral.
UAAUGGAAAGCAAAUUUAGGAACUUACUAUUGUAUUAGUCACUUGUGCUCUCUCCGGUGUGCUUAUUUUUGUGAAAUUGGAAUUGAUCACAUAUAUAUGGAUGUGAUCAUUUAUAUUUAGUAUUAUUUUACAACAAGAGUAUAAAAAUAGCAUGAACUUACAAAUUACCAUCCAAACUUGAAAAAGAAACUUGAUAUAUGCAUGCUCUUUGAGAUCAUCACACGAGUUGGUCAGAGCCACCUUUCCCAGUCUUUCCUUCGGCGGCUGGUCCAUGUUGUUUUUCGACUUUACUAUCUACGAUUCUCUCUCGAGGGUUACACAAGAUUCUUCCUAAAAAAUGAGAAGCAAUUGCCAAGAAUAUGAUCGCUAUGACGAUCAAACACCAUUGCCAGAUUGGAACCUCCAUAUCUUUAGUUUGGAUUUUUAGUCACACAAAGUAAACGCAGAGCAGAAGAAGAAGAGGAGGAAGAUGCUUGAAAGUUGUUGGUACUGUUGACCAAAAGGAGUAAGUUGUGAAGAAAUGAUACGCAAAGAUUUGUGGAAGGUAACCAAUUUUGUAAACUUCGUAGAAGA